AGCUUGUACCUAGUAGAGCGAGAUUGAGUCGGGCAAGGAGCGGGGUAGCUCUUUGCCUAGGACCUUUGAGAUUGAGUCGGGCGAGGAGCGGGGUAGCUCUUUGCCUAGGACUUUCGAGAUUGGGUCGGACAUAUGAGAUGCGAGUCGGGCAAGGAGCGGGGUAGCUCUUUGCCUAGGACCUUGAGAUUUGAGACCUUAGGCAAGUUGGCCUAAUUGAUUGGGUGGUAACAGGAAUUGCAUAAGUGGAUUGCAUUCAUACCAUGAUUUGACAUAGUAGACUGCAUAACUAUGUUGUAGUUGUAUUCAUUACACUGUUGAAAUAUACUAGCAUGAUAGUAGGUUAUUGCUAGAUGACAAUCCAUGCAUCCUUUGUUCUAGUGUCCUAAAGAGGCACUAGACUUAGUGAAUGUUGAAACUUUACUUUGAGAUAUAGACUAGACCCUUGGGGUUACUAGUGGCUAUUCCAUGUUAGAGACAUGAUGACGAGAUCCGUGACAUGAUGACUGUGGUUACUUGCCAUUUGUGCUCAUUCGCACAUGCUUGUGAGGGUCGCUCCCUACAAGCCGGCACUCCGGAGUUGGCCUUUUGCGACACAGUUCGCGCGUGCUGAAUUGAGACGCCUGUAGGGUCGCGUGGGACAGCCUCAUUCCAGCGUGGGAUGAUGAGCUACCACGGGCAGCUAGGCGGCGAGGCGCUUGUAGGGUCGUGUGGGACAGACUCAUUCCUAGCGUGGAAUGAUGGGCUACCACAGGCAGCUAGGCGGCACAAGCCGGACUACACUUGUGUAGGUCCUAAAGCAAGA
This 802-nucleotide long non-coding RNA is filed under the name Ananas comosus (pineapple). Its description in RNAcentral is "long non-coding RNA (ACOM_LNC018010)". The record is from RNAcentral. Lineage: Eukaryota; Viridiplantae; Streptophyta; Magnoliopsida; Poales; Bromeliaceae.